RNAcentral lists this ribosomal RNA (466 nucleotides) under uncultured bacterium. RNAcentral describes it as "partial 16S ribosomal RNA". It matches the Rfam family "Bacterial small subunit ribosomal RNA", at positions 28 to 505 of the family's 1533-position model. The record is from RNAcentral.
GACGAACGCUGGCGGCGUGCUUAACACAUGCAAGUCGAACGGAAAGGCCCUGCUUUUGUGGGGUGCUCGAGUGGCGAACGGGUGAGUAACACGUGAGUAACCUGCCCUUGACUUUGGGAUAACUUCAGGAAACUGGGGCUAAUACCGGAUAGGAGCUCCUGCUGCAUGGUGGGGGUUGGAAAGUUUCGGCGGUUGGGGAUGGACUCGCGGCUUAUCAGCUUGUUGGUGGGGUAGUGGCUUACCAAGGCUUUGACGGGUAGCCGGCCUGAGAGGGUGACCGGCCACAUUGGGACUGAGAUACGGCCCAGACUCCUACGGGAGGCAGCAGUGGGGAAUAUUGCACAAUGGGCAGAAGCCUGAUGCAGCAACGCCGCGUGCGGGAUGACGGCCUUCGGGUUGUAAACCGCUUUCGCCUGUGACGAAGCGUGAGUGACGGUAAGGGGUAAAGAAGCACCGGCUAACUACG